AAUAGCCAAAGUGAAAGAUCUAACUACUCAACAUACAAGUACUAUGAUUAACUUUAAAUCAUAUACAUGCAUACUACUUUAAUCAAGUUCUUUUACAUUCUUUUUCAUCAUAUCUUUUUACAUCUCAUUACUCCAAAAUACAACCUUUGACAUUGGAAAUAAACAUCUUUUACAUCAUUCUCUUAAGCAUCUAGAAUCAUCAAAUACAAAACAUGAUAGUAAAAGGAAUGUCAAGUUCAAUCCAUUCCUUAACUAUAAGGAAACAAUGUACAUAUAACCCUUAACUCUAAGGUUGCUAUGUCAUAAUGUCACAAUCACUCUUUUACUUGCAUUCUUUGCUUUUGCUAGUAUCAUAUACACUACUUUGUACUCACACACACAUGCCACACUUGUUCUCUAAGUGUUCAAUUCUAGCAUUCUUGACUCAACAAUGCCACUCUCUACAUUCAUGUCCACAUGUCAAAUUUGUUUUCUAAGUCCACUAAGUUCUUGUCAU
This 496-nucleotide long non-coding RNA is filed under the name Ananas comosus (pineapple). RNAcentral describes it as "long non-coding RNA (ACOM_LNC007056)". Lineage: Eukaryota; Viridiplantae; Streptophyta; Magnoliopsida; Poales; Bromeliaceae. The record is from RNAcentral.